UGGGUGUCGCGAUAGUGUGAUUUAUUACUGUGUUAAAUGAGAGAUAAGCAGUCUAGAUAAUUGUAAAUAUAGGUUUACAUUUGGUAACAACUAGAACUAAAAAUUAUUAUAUAUAGCCCGUGGGAGAAACAAGCAGAUUAGAGAGCUCUAUCCAAAGGGAUUUCUCCUUAUAUCUCAGGACUUCAGCUGAUCGGAGUUUCAGCCACCAUCCGACAGGAGGCGCUGAGUGAAAGGCGAAGAGGUCAAUGCGGGCUAUGAUAAUUAAUUAGCCUUCCGAGGUGGAGGACUGCUAUGAAUCCAAUUGAGAAUGGAAGCAAUGGAGCAAUGGAAUGGCAUUUGUCUAGCGACACUGGAAUACGCAUUCGUGGCGAAAAUUUAUUUUAUGUAUGAUAAAAUGAACAAUUAAAUAAAAUUAAAAGAAAAAUCGAA
This is a long non-coding RNA of Drosophila eugracilis, 429 nucleotides long. RefSeq lists it as uncharacterized. The transcript has 2 exons. The record is from RefSeq and is a predicted model, not a curated record. Lineage: Eukaryota; Metazoa; Arthropoda; Insecta; Diptera; Drosophilidae.